Molecule: transfer RNA, 72 nt
Filed under: Camelus bactrianus (Bactrian camel)
Lineage: Eukaryota; Metazoa; Chordata; Mammalia; Artiodactyla; Camelidae
Also listed under: 2 other names
Rfam family: tRNA
About the family: Transfer RNA (tRNA) molecules are approximately 80 nucleotides in length. Their secondary structure includes four short double-helical elements and three loops (D, anti-codon, and T loops).
Source: Rfam by way of RNAcentral
GUGGGUAUAGCUCAGUGGUAGAGCACAUGCUUAGCGUGCAUGAGGUCCUGGGUUCAAUCCCCAGUGCCUCUG